Molecule: long non-coding RNA, 319 nt
Organism: Carassius auratus (goldfish)
Lineage: Eukaryota; Metazoa; Chordata; Actinopteri; Cypriniformes; Cyprinidae
Exons: 4
Source: RefSeq, a predicted model, not a curated record
CUCCGACUCUGUGGGUGAAACAGCUGUAUGACCUUGUUGACCUCUACAGCACUGGACACACACAGAAAAUAACAGGAAUGUUAUUGGAGCAGAAGAAGGAGGCGGUGCUUCAGCUGCUGUCAGAUCACUCGCUCCUCGAGGAACAAGUUAAAAUCGCACUGAAGACCUUGCAGGAGCAGGGUGAUGAGGGACAGAUGUGAGUGACUGCUCUGACAGAGAGGAAGUGGAAUCGAUUGGCGAGACGCUUUUCAAUGCUGUGCAUCAGUUAGACCCCACCCACUGUGCUGACAUCACCGGGAUGCUGCUGGAAAUGGAUUCA